Molecule: ribosomal RNA, 27 nt
Filed under: Cunninghamella echinulata
Lineage: Eukaryota; Fungi; Mucoromycota; Mucoromycetes; Mucorales; Cunninghamellaceae
Also listed under: 1 other name
Description: partial 28S ribosomal RNA
Source: RNAcentral
CUGAAAUCAGAUGGGACUACCCGCUGA